UACACAAACUAACUGACAUUGCACAAUAAAAUGUAGCAGAUUUGCUAGCAAUCCUUCUUUCUCUCGUAUAGAAGUACAUGCUAUCUAACGUGAGCAAAAUCAUUGCGUAACUACAGGUACAUCAUAUGACUAAUUUACACAGAAUACUGAUACUCGACCCCAUGCAUUCAGUUUCAGAACUUGAAACUAAUUAACCUGUGGAAACUAACCUGACUAGUAGCUUCUCUGGCUUCCAGUUUACAACUUCCAGGAUAUCAAUCAUUCAUUCUCAAGUUGCUGUUGGCAGCUACAAGUCGCCUUUUUCUGGAAUUUUCAUGUUCUUUUUUUGUGUGUAUAUGCCUUCCUCUUCGAUUUCGAGCUUGUGAUUGAGGUCAAUUGAUGGUGGUGGUUGUGCGAUGCAGAUGUUCGGGAUGGCGGAGAAGGAGAUGGAGUACCGGGUCGAGCUUUUCAACCGGCAAAUUUGGGGCUGAGGAAAGAAGACGAGGAGCAACUUCUCUCUGGUCUGGUCGUUGGAACUUCAGGACAAGGUGAAGGUUUUCAAAUGUUGAAGGAGGAGGACAAUAGGAACUUCUGUGAUGUCUUGUCAUCUAUUUUCUUUUCUUUGUUGUAGAAUAGUUCUGUUUGGCACUUACUGGUUGGAUGUAAAGAUAUGUACUGCUAGAAUGAAUGCAUGUAAAUAUAUUUUGGGCUCCUAUAAUAUUUCAUGUUGCUUUGAAAAUGUAUCGGAACUGGGCUAGGCCCAAGAUAACUUG
This is a long non-coding RNA of Triticum aestivum (bread wheat), 752 nucleotides long. RefSeq lists it as uncharacterized. The record is from RefSeq and is a predicted model, not a curated record. The transcript has 3 exons. Lineage: Eukaryota; Viridiplantae; Streptophyta; Magnoliopsida; Poales; Poaceae.